UAGAAUUGAAGAAAUAUACCGAAUAAAGUCGAAAUUCAGCUUACCCAACUAUAAAACAUGCUGGAGGUUACAUAUUCCGAUCAAGUGAUCGGAAAAACGUAGCUUCUCUUUCAACUUACUGUUGCGUCGUUGCUAGACUAGAAAAACAAGGAUGACAUCACCGGAGAAGAGCUUGUGAUGAGGUGGGAGGUCUCGUCCAUUCGGUCCUUAGCUGGUUUCAUCGAAAACAUCAAACGAAGGGAGAGAGAGUUGUUCUGAUUAACAAAACGCAGCUCUCUUUGUCUCCCUCGUUUAGUGCUAUGAUAAAGUAGAAAUAGAUAGGGUGGUGGCUGGAUAGUUGCUGCAAACGAGAGGAGGGUGGAGUCGGCUAGCUAUGGGCUCAGGUGGUCGAAAAAUCAGCGGGGAGGGGAAAGGGAGGUGUCG
Molecule: long non-coding RNA, 423 nt
Filed under: Jatropha curcas
Lineage: Eukaryota; Viridiplantae; Streptophyta; Magnoliopsida; Malpighiales; Euphorbiaceae
Description: long non-coding RNA (JCUR_LNC001334)
Source: RNAcentral